UGUUACAUGUUUUAGUAUUUGUUGCUCUACUCGGACAACUAAAAAUGAUUGAAAGCAGUUGUGGAUAUGAACAUAUAAAUCAAAAUAUCAGGAUUCAUGCAGGAAGAAAGAAUACCUGAAUGACAUAUUUACUGAUCAAUUUAAUGAUGGCGAACUCAAGUCGGAAGUGUUUCUAGAGAAGCUAGUGUCUACUUGCAGCAAUUACGCUGAAUACUCCAAAUGUGGCAAUUGUACUGCCAAACACGUGUGUCAUGAGGAACAAGAUAGAUUAAAGGAAAUCCUGGUUGAAAGAUGGUCAAUCUACUGUGACGAUGACCAGCCAUCAAGUUGGCUAA
This is a long non-coding RNA of Ruditapes philippinarum (Manila clam), 335 nucleotides long. RefSeq lists it as uncharacterized. NCBI's taxonomy places the organism in Eukaryota, Metazoa, Mollusca, Bivalvia, Venerida, Veneridae. The transcript has 3 exons. The record is from RefSeq and is a predicted model, not a curated record.